GGAGAUGGCUCUGGAAAAUCUCAGCAAUGAGUGCCGAAGGUGUAAGGCCCCGCGCGGGUUGAAUCUCUCAGGCAAAGAGGACAGGGCAGGAAAC
Firmicutes bacterium CAG:129 is the source of this 94-nucleotide regulatory RNA element. It matches the Rfam family "Glycine riboswitch aptamer". From Rfam's summary of the family: This family represents the bacterial glycine riboswitch. Glycine riboswitches usually consist of two metabolite-binding aptamers domains with similar structures in tandem. The record is from Rfam. Lineage: Bacteria; Bacillati; Bacillota.